This is a long non-coding RNA of Salvelinus namaycush (lake trout), 466 nucleotides long. RefSeq lists it as uncharacterized. The record is from RefSeq and is a predicted model, not a curated record. NCBI's taxonomy places the organism in Eukaryota, Metazoa, Chordata, Actinopteri, Salmoniformes, Salmonidae. The transcript has 4 exons.
AGAGAGAGAGAGAUGAUGUAAGGUCUAGUCUUAUCUGAGAAGUUUGAACAGUUGUGACUGAUAUUUGAUGUAGCUACCUCAUUUGAAUAAGCACCAUACAGAAACGUCCGGUCUGCUCUGGUCUGACAGGCUCAAAGAGGACUGUGUCUCAGAGUUAGGAAACUCCACUCCCGUUUGUCUCCAGUUCCACAUCCCCGGUUGGUUAACUAUUGAGGUUCCUUGGGUCUCCACCGAACUAGGAUGCAGGCUGUACGUGUGAAGUACAGGGAUUGUCAGAAGUAUGAGGGGCAACUGACCUUCAAAUCCUUUUUUGGAUUGUGUUUUGGAGGUCACACAAUACAUUUGACAUUCCAACCUUGGACUUAAAGGUCUAUGAUGAAUCGAAGACUGAAGUUAAUGUUUGAGUUUCUUCUAAAGAAACAAGGCCUUGGUGUGCUGGAGAUUUGUUUACCCCAAGACCCAAAUC